AUAUAACAAUGAGGGAAUUUUUAUAAUAAGUCAUUAAAUCAUUUUCAUUCCUUAUACAAGGACUCAUCAUCGGAUUGCUGAAACGUAGUAAUUUCAUUUUUUAGCUU
This is a small nucleolar RNA of Gossypium raimondii (Peruvian cotton), 107 nucleotides long. It matches the Rfam family "Plant small nucleolar RNA R71". From Rfam's summary of the family: R71 is a member of the C/D box family of snoRNAs containing the C (UGAUGA) and D (CUGA) box motifs. Multiple nearly identical copies of this snoRNA have been identified in Arabidopsis, and it is thought to function as a 2'-O-ribose methylation guide for 18S ribosomal RNA. Lineage: Eukaryota; Viridiplantae; Streptophyta; Magnoliopsida; Malvales; Malvaceae. The record is from Rfam.